This 2258-nucleotide long non-coding RNA is filed under the name Olea europaea subsp. europaea. The record is from RNAcentral. Lineage: Eukaryota; Viridiplantae; Streptophyta; Magnoliopsida; Lamiales; Oleaceae.
CUUCAUCUUUCUUAACAACCCCGAACCCACCACCGCCACCCAUCUUAUUCUCCAUUGACUCCCUUCUCCUUCUAGGGUUUUUCAUUUUCUUCUCCAACUCGUACUUGAUUUUCUCUUGCACAUACUUUGGCACCCCAUCUUGUUUAGAGUACUCCACACAUUCAUUUACGCAUAUAAAUAGGUAAGGAAUUUUAUUAUUUGAAUUGUUUAAUUCCUUCUUUUUAUUUUAUUUUAUUUUUUGUUCAGUUGCUUUAUGAAAUAGAACAUUCCCAAUGUAGUUUUAAAUGUUUUAGUUUCGUUUCUGCAUGGUUUAUUUAUAUGCAAUUUAAUCUUAAUUGUGGAAGCAUGUUGAGAAAAAACAGAGCUUGGUUAAAAAAUUCCUAAAUAACUUGAAUGUCAUCUGUAAUUUCUUGAAUAAAAAAAAGGAUGUCUGGUUUAGAGGGCUUCUCCUUGAACAGUAAAAAUUAUUCCAUGUUUUUUUCAUUAUUUCAUUUUUGUUUGCUUCAAACUGGGAUAUCUGCACAAAAUUAGUUCAAUUGUUAAUAGCAAAUGUACACUUUUUUCUUCAACUAAACACAUGAUGCAGUGACUUGAUUUCUCAAAAAAUAAAGAAAAAUUGGUGUUUUAGGACGAAUAAAGCAUGUAUAUAUAGGCCUAUACAUUCGAAAUCAACGUGUGAGACAUAUCUAAUCCAAGGACCAGAUUUGAACCUAUAGAGUACACUUUUUUUUCUUGAAGCAAUGGUUACACUUCCACCAUCUCAUAUACAUCAUUCAACCAUAGAAUGCCCCCAGGGCACAUCUCCAAGUGGUAAAAGGGGAGGGUGGAGAAAUCCAACUUUGCGUGAGGCUGCUGCGUCAAGAGUUCGAAUCCUGAAAUAUGGAUUUGGCUCUUGGGUAAGUGCAAGUGUACAAGCAGUCUUCCACCCUUGGAGGCAUAACCUGCGAUUUACCUCCCUCACGAUGCUCCAGGGCAGGGGUGGUGGGGGACCCUUAAGGUUAGGGUUUAACCUUUUUUUUUUAACCAUAGAAUAUUGUGCACAGUUUUCUAGGCCUUCUAAUUAAAAGUUUCGAGUCUUAUAACAUUCUAGAACUGAAACAACAAGGCUAUUCAUGAUUGGUUAGGGAAAUUCUUGAUCCCGCAUAAAGCAGGAAAUCCUGACCCAAAUGGUAAGCGGGGCUAGGACGGCAUGGGAGUCUAGUUCCCCAAAUCUUUUUAAUGUGCUUUAUUUUUGUAUUUUCAAAUUUAAUUGUAUUUGAAAAUUGAAAAAUAUUGCCCCUAUCUGUUCCCAACCUGCUUUUUGAAAAAUUUCCGAUUGAGCAAGGAUAUGAUAAUGGGGCUUAGACUCAGUGAAAAUUUACUAGAUGCAUAAACUUUCACAAUCUAGUCAUCUUCUCAUCUAUACAAAAGCCAUGGAAACGAAAUUUAACUGGUCUUUUCUGUAACUUUUUAAGGUACAAAAAAGGACUAAAUAGAGGUUAGACCUUCCUAAAAUCAAUUUGACCAAAUAAACAAGUGGAAAGAAUGUUCUCUUUUUUAUUUUAUUAUUAUUAUUUUUUUUUAUAAUUCUGGUAUCCAAAUUUCGCAUGAUUAAUCCUGAGGAGUGGCAGCCUGCCCCCCAGUUCGUCACCCGGGUAAAUCCGGAUGCAGACACAGCUUAUACACACUUGGACCGGACAUUCGGGAUGCGGUUGACCUCUCUUUAUGACUUGCGGACAGGACCUCGGAGGGCCGACAAAGCGUACAAUAAUUUUGUCUCCACAGGACAACUGUCUUCCAACAUAAAUGCUACCUUCCAGCUGUCGUGGGGAUUCGAACUUCCGAUACUCCGUGUGGAACUCUCCUGCUUUACAAAUGGAAAGAAUGUUCACUAAUAGGUAAGGUGGUCAAUGGUUAGAGACGGGAGGAUUAAUCCAUUUGGUUGAAAUAAUAGAUGACACGUUUAUUAGAAAAACUAUUAGUACUGUACGAUAGUAAAUAAUAGAAGAAAUGAACUUUUUUUUUAUUAUUUUAUCACAUAAUUAUGUUAAAAGAUGCUUUAAACUUGAUAAAAUCCUACGGUUUCACUCUAUGUAUAAUAACCUACGAGUAAAUUUAACCAAUAAUCACUGAACUUUACACUUGAUUACUACUUGCUCAUUCAUCUUUCACAUAUUACUGAAUGCUCACUCAUCUUUUCAUAUAAUUACUCAUUCAUCACUCGUCUCUUCAAAUAAUUGGGCGACUUUUACGGCAAAUUUUCGACAACUUCCGUACAC